RNAcentral lists this ribosomal RNA (399 nucleotides) under uncultured bacterium. RNAcentral's name for it is "partial 16S ribosomal RNA". It matches the Rfam family "Bacterial small subunit ribosomal RNA", at positions 360 to 774 of the family's 1533-position model. The record is from RNAcentral.
AAUAUUUCGCAAUGGAGGGAACUCUGACGCAGCGACGCCGCGUGAACGAUGAAGGCCUUCGGGUCGUAAAGUUCUGUCCUCAGGGAAGAAGAAAUGAAGGUACCUGAGGAGGAAGCCCCGGCUACGUUCGUGCCAGCAGCAGCGGUAAUGCGUAGGGGGCCAGCGUUGUCCGGAAUUAUUGGGCGUAAAGGGUGCGUAGGCGGCCUUUUAAGUCAGAUGUGAAAGCCCACGGCUUAACCGUGGGACUGCAUUUGAAACUGGAGGGCUUGAGUAUCGGAGAGGGUAGUGGAAUUCCCAGUGUAGCGGUGGAAUGCGUAGAUAUUGGGAGGAACACCAGUGGCGAAGGCGACUACCUGGACGAAAACUGACGCUGAAGCACGAAAGCUAGGGGAGCAAACA